Molecule: microRNA precursor, 67 nt
Filed under: Glycine max (soybean)
Lineage: Eukaryota; Viridiplantae; Streptophyta; Magnoliopsida; Fabales; Fabaceae
Description: miR4343b stem-loop (gma-MIR4343b)
Source: miRBase by way of RNAcentral
UUUUCUUCUUACAGAUCAAGUUGAUUCGGAAGAGACUUCCGGAUCGACUUGAUUCGUAAGAGGAAAA